CCUACGGGAGACUGCAGUGAGCAAUAUUGGUCAAUGGGCGCGAGCCUGAACCAGCCAAGUAGCGUGAAGGAUGACUGCCCUACGGGUUGUAAACUUCUUUUAUAAAGGAAUAAAGUGAGGCACGUGAGCCUUUUUGAAUGUACUUUAUGAAUAAGGAUCGGCUAACACCGUGCCAGCAGCCGCGGUAAUACGGAGGAUCCGAGCGUUAUCCGGAUUUAUUGGGUUUAAAGGGAGCGUAGAUGGGUUGUUAAGUCAGUUGUGAAAGUUUGCGGCUCAACCGUAGAAUUGCAAUUGAUACUGGCAGUCUUGAGUACAGGUGAGGUAGGCGGAAUUCGUGGUGUAGCGGUAAAAUGCUUAGAUAUCACGAAGAACACCGAUUGCGAAGGCAGCUUACUAAACUGCCACUGACAUUGAUGCUCGAAAGUGUGGGUAUCAAACAGGAUUAGAUACCCGAGUAGUC
This 460-nucleotide ribosomal RNA is filed under the name uncultured bacterium. RNAcentral's name for it is "partial 16S ribosomal RNA". It matches the Rfam family "Bacterial small subunit ribosomal RNA", at positions 338 to 795 of the family's 1533-position model. The record is from RNAcentral.